CCGGGGGUGCUGCCAGCCGGAGUCAGGGCCAGAGCCAGGCUGGGACUGGGCUGUGCCGCCAGGACCGGAGCCGGGCCACACCACUGGGACCGGAGCCGGGGCUGGGGCACGCCGCCUGGCCGGGACCGAAGCCGGGGCCGGGACGCACCACCCAGCCAGGGCGCCUGGCUGGGGCCAGGGCCGGAGCUGGGCUGCACUGCUGGGGCCAGAGCCGGGCCACGGCACCAGGCCGGGACCGAAGCCGGAGUCAGGGCCGGGGCGCGCCACCCGACUGGGGCCAGGGAGCUGGGCUGCGCCACCCCUCCCCGGAGCCCUCCUCACUCCCCCUUCCCCCCACUCACCUGCGCAAAGCUGCCCUUCUCAGCGCUCCCAGGCUUCCUGCGUUCAGGGGAGGAGGCAGAGAAAAUCCUGUUCCUUGGACUAAUGGCUACUCCUUUCGUUGCUCGUUUAUCUGGCACAAGAUUUCAGAAGGUGAACAGCCCUCACAAAGACCUUGUGAAUAUAAAGCUCUCCAGGAUGAGUCGUUUCCACAUUGCCACCAGCCUCAGAUGCAAGAUCCACAAUUACCGAUCCAUCCUUCAUUGACUCUACCAUAUUCUUAGUGAUUAGGAUUGGGGCUUUUUUCCCUAUUGCAAAUUAAAAAAUAGAAGUAAAAAUUUACUAAUUAUCAUCAUUGUAUAUGGCAAGAUUCUACCACAUAAAGUGAAGAUGUGCAAGGAAAACAUCUAGUAUAUUGUGGGAGCUACUGGAAAUAAAUAAUAAAAUACUAAUCAUACUAAAACUAGACAAUUCAAAAGAAGCCAUUCUAAUCCAUGAAAUAAAUAUUAACUGGAGCCCAAAC
Molecule: long non-coding RNA, 841 nt
Organism: Mauremys mutica (yellowpond turtle)
Lineage: Eukaryota; Metazoa; Chordata; Testudines; Geoemydidae
Exons: 3
Source: RefSeq, a predicted model, not a curated record